This 384-nucleotide small RNA is filed under the name Pan troglodytes (chimpanzee). Its description in RNAcentral is "processed transcript". The record is from RNAcentral. Lineage: Eukaryota; Metazoa; Chordata; Mammalia; Primates; Hominidae.
CCGGGGGCACACGGCUUACCAUCUCAGGCAGCUCUCUGGAUGCUGGCAGCAGGGUCACAGUGACUGUGAGGGACAGCGAGUGCCAGUUUGUAAGGAGAGAUGCCAAGGCGAUCGUGUGCAUCUCACCUGUCUCCACCCUGGGCCCCAGCCAGGCCCCCAUCACACUUGCCAUUGACCGGGCUAACAUCUCCAGCCCCGGGGUCAUCUACACCUACACUCAGGACCCCACCGUCACCCGCCUUGAGCCCACCUGGAGCAUCAUCAAUGGAAGCACUGCCAUCACUGUGAGUGGGACCCACCUGCUGACGGUCCAGGAGCCCCGGGUCCGUGCCAAGUACCGCGGCAUUGAGACCACCAAUGUGAGUACCAGCUGCCCCGCCCCAC